UAUGUGAUCGUCUCUCGCAUAUCAAUAAGCGGAGGAAAAGAAACUAACAAGGAUUCCCCUAGUAACGGCGAGUGAAGCGGGAAGAGCUCAAAUUUGAAAUCUUAAAGGGUUUCCCUUUACGAAUUGUAGUUUAGAGAAGUGUUUUCUGUUGAGGUUUUGGUAAAAGUUCUUUGGAAUAGGACAUCAUAGAGGGUGAGAAUCCCGUAUUUGACCUUUACUUUCAACUUUGUGAUACACUUUCAAAGAGUCGGAUUGUUUGGGAAUGCAGUCCAAAAUGGGUGGUAAAUUUCAUCUAAAGCUAAAUAUUGGCGAGAGACCGAUAGCGAACAAGUACCGUGAGGGAAAGAUGAAAAGAACUUUGAAAAGAGAGUUAAACAGUACGUGAAAUUGUCAAAAGGGAAGCGUUUGACACCAGUGUUGUUUUUCUGAAAAUCAAUUAAAGAACUGUUUAUGCUAAGUUGUUUAGACUUUAUCAGCUAUCUGCUUAGUUUUGAAGCUUUUCUUUAAUGCACUUUUCAGUUAACAAGUCAACAUCAAUUUCUUUUGCUGUAAAAAGGCUUGAGGAAGGUGGCUUGAGAUUCGUCUUAAGUGUUUAUAGCCUCUUGCCUAUGCAGUCGGAGAGAUUGAGGUCUGCAGCGUAGAUCCUUCGGGGCUAAAUGCAUUUGUGCUAAGUUAUAGUAUUUUAUAGACAACUUGUUGACUAUGAUUUGUCUUGUAGCUUACUCGCUUAUGUUAUUUUACCUACGCUUAGGAUGUUGACGAGACUGUCGAUCUC
RNAcentral lists this ribosomal RNA (775 nucleotides) under uncultured Neocallimastigales. RNAcentral's name for it is "partial large subunit ribosomal RNA". It matches the Rfam family "Eukaryotic large subunit ribosomal RNA", at positions 24 to 647 of the family's 3401-position model. Lineage: Eukaryota; Fungi; Neocallimastigomycota; Neocallimastigomycetes; Neocallimastigales. The record is from RNAcentral.